Long non-coding RNA from Megalobrama amblycephala (Wuchang bream), 525 nucleotides. RefSeq lists it as uncharacterized. The record is from RefSeq and is a predicted model, not a curated record. Lineage: Eukaryota; Metazoa; Chordata; Actinopteri; Cypriniformes; Xenocyprididae. The transcript is spliced from 2 exons.
CAAAAAAAGAAACAAUUCCUGAGAGGUUUUAGAUUUUACAUUUGUUUUUUUCUUCUAAAUAGACCUGUUCUUCAUCUUUCUGAAGUUUUUCUUGCUCUAAAAUAACAGUCAUAACUUUCAUGUCUACAGUAUAUGCAACAAACACAAACUUGAGAUCCCAAGCCCAAGCCAACACUUCCACAGGGCACAACGAAAGACCUGCCCAUCCCCCCAAAUCAUCGGUCUUAAUCCACACUACAUAUGCCUCGGCUUCCCCGCUCUCUAACCAAAGACGGCUCCCCAGCGUCCGGUUGUACACCCACACCUCUCUUCUCCUGCUGAUAACUGGUGCUUCUACGAUUUCAAAGGCAUGUUUGAGCUGAAGUGCAGAUCCUAAUGUUCUUCCCUCUCUCUCGCAGUGUAAUUAUUAUUUUGAAAGUGCGGUCUGGGGAGGCUGUCAGGGUUUGGCACAGUCUAUGGCAGUAAUGUGCUGGGUGUUUUAAUACAGCUUGACUUCUGUUUUAUAAACUCUGAGGGCAAACAUCA